UAUGUAAAGCGCUUUGGGGUCCUUAGGGACUAGAAAAGCGCUAUAUAAAUACAGGCCAUUUACCAUUUUUGUGUUAAGUUUAUAUGCUUUGGGCCUCAAGCAAUAGUUAAGAGGAUUAUUCACUGAAGAUGGCAACUGUUUCUUCUAGACUUUUCCUUUUGUUUGUAAAGACUUUUAUAUCAAAUAUGUCAUUUGCUUAAAAAAAUUAGAGUAAAAAGCAAAAUGUUCUGAUAUUUGCUGCUCUGAGCUUCUCAUGUCCAGUGACAGCAGCAAUAGGCUUAGUGUUACGGGCCUGGGCCUUGGAGGAAGUGAGACUGCCCUUUUGUUUGUGCAAAUCCAAGUGUGCUAGGACUUGUGGAUGUUUUUACUGUAACAUAAGUGGGGGCUCGUCUGGGAUCUCCUUUUCCCCAUAAGGAGAAUUCCCAUUUGUGAAAGAGAGAACGUGUGUUUUGCUCCAUUUUGGGUUUUUUUCUUCUUCUGCCCUCUUCCUUGUUUUGAGCGCCAUGUCGGCUGCAUUUUGUUUAGAGGAUUUCUUAAAAGCUCCAUCUGUUGUGCUCCUUGAUAGCUGCCGCAAGUGUGAAUUGCUGCAAAUUGCAGAACACCUUAAGCUCCAGGUCUCUAAAACACUCCGUAAGAGUGACCUGAAAGCGUGGGUAGUAGACAAGUUGGUGGAGGCUGGUCUAGUGCAAGUCCCUUAUCUGCCUGAACUGCCUGUGGUCUCUGGUGAGCCUAGUCAAACUUCCUCAUUUGAGGGGGACCAUAAAGAUGGUUCUGGUCAUGACAGUGUGGGAGAUGAGCGGGGAAAGACCCCGCGCACGCUCCCUCGCUAUGAUCCCCUUUCCUCUGGAAGUUCAGAAGAAGUUCAAAGGUGCGACUGGCACAGCUCCAGUUGGAGGCCGAGGAGAAGGCUCAAGUCAGGCGAGCUCAAUUAGAGCUUGAGAUCAGAAGGCUCGUCACGGGAUUUUUCCCCGUCGCACCUUACCCAUUGAGGGGGUGGCCAUGUUGCUAGGAAAUGAUAUUGCGGGCGGAUUAGUGCGUCCUAGUCUGGAGGUGCUGGAUAAGCCCCUCAGUUGUGAUGCCCCAGAUAUUUCUGUGACCCCAAAGCUGUACCCAGCCUGUGUGGUUACUCGUGCCCAGGCCCGUAAAGAUGGCAACGUUACCCUCGCUGAUUCUAUGUUGAUGACCUCAUUUUCUGAGGAGGGUGCUGCUUUACCUGACGAAAACAAUGUUUUGUCUUCCCCAGACUUGGUAAACCCUGAGGAGCCUGGUCCAUCUGUGAAAGAAAUACCAUUGCCUUUAACCAGAGAAAAUCUGUCGGCAGCCCAGUUGGCUGAUGAAUCGUUGCAGCGUUGUUUUAAGCGUGUGGUAAGUGCUGAUCAAGCUGGUUACGAACAACAACCCUUUUUCAUCAAACAGAAUGUGGUAAUGCGUUAAUGGUCCCCACCUGGUGCAGGAAGUGUGGACUGGGGUCACGCCAAUUCCCUGGCUAAGCAGCACAUUGCCAUUUCAGAAAGGAAAAUGAAACACACUUAUGAUAAGGCUUCUCUUAAAAGACACCUCAGAAGAAGUGAUAAAGUACUUGUCUUACUAAUUUUACUCACUUACUUGUUUUUGCUUAGUUACCUUGAAAGUACAAAAUCCCUCUUAUGCCACACGUGAUAACUGCACCCGACUUGAUGCGUCCAUUCAAGUUAGGGGUUGAUGCCAGUGCUGUUGGGGCUGGAGCAAUACUGUUGCAAAAAAGACUUGCAGGGAUUGGACCACCCCAUUUGUUAUUUCCACUGCAAAUUUAACCAGCAUCUGUUAAGUUACUCCCCCAUUGAGAAGGAGAUAUUGGCUCUGUUGCUAGCUCUUCAGCACUUCCAUGUUUACUUGGGGUCCGGCACAUUACCCAUUGUAGUGUACACUGAUCAUAAUCCACUUGUAUUUCUUGCCUGAAUGUUUAACCACAAUCAACGACUCAUGCAAUGGGCCUUGCUGCUGCAAGAGUACAACUUGGAGAUUCGGCAUAUAAAAGGAUCAGAAAAUGUACUAGCUGAUGGCCUCUCCCGGUUCAACUAGUGAUCUGGGGUCUACAGGAAGCAUCUGGAGGAGCCAGACAACCAUAUAGGGAAAAAUGCUGUUGAACACGGAAACUUGUUGAACUGUCGUUAAUUAAAACCUAUGCAUGUGAUGUUUUGUCUAACGCGAGAAGGGGCGUUAACCCUGACAUAAUAAAACUCUGCUAAAAGUAUGUUUUGACGGGAGAUCCGCAUUGACAAUAUUGGGCUGUGUAUCUUUCCACACGUGUUUAAUAAAAUCAUUGUUUUGAUGCACUUGGACCAGAGGUCAUUUGUCUCUCACCUCAAUCACGAAUUCGGGACAAAACAUAGUCUUGUAUUUUAAGAGGAGGGGUGUUAUGGCCCUGGGCCUUGGAGCAAGUGAGACUGUCCUUUUGUUUAUGCAAAUCCAAGUGUGCUAGGACUCGUGGAUGACUGGCUGCUGGGAGUCCGGUGCCAGCCUUCUUUUAUGCAGAUCAAAGUGUGCCAGACCGCGCGGACGAUUGGCUGCCAGGACAUCCCAUGACACUCCAAGACCAAUUGACUGGCUGAUUGUCUGCACCUGGGAGUAUAAAAAGGCUGAAGAUUCUUCAUACUGACGGGGGAAACUGCUGCGCUGACGUGAAUAUGCAGUGUCUGCCUAGCAUUUGAACUCGGUAAACUCUGAUAUACAGCUGACCUUAGUUUUAUUAGAGUCUUGUGUUUGCUGGCUCACCUUAGUUAACCCUUAGCUUUUAUUCAGGGCUGUUCUUUUCUUUGUGUAUUAAUUAUUUGCCCGGUGGUCUGUUGAACAGCCCUGUUGGUUUUCAGUUUAACGUUUGCAAUAAAACUCCUUAUUUACUCUGAUUUCGUGAGAGGGCUUGUGUAUGUUUCCCCCCCACCUGUCACCUAGCAGAGUGGGUCGUAAUAUCAGUCAUCCACAACUGGUUGUCAUUCAGACUGGAUAAGUGGUUGUAAAGAGAGGAAAUGACUGAAGAGGUGGAGCUGAUAAUUUUAAUGUAUUUUGGAAGCUUUAAUUUAAACACAAGCACUUACAAACAGUAUCUUUAAAGAAAAACAGGGCACUGUAUAAUGUCAUGUCUCAUAUAUAAUCUUGAGAUAUAUUGUAUCCCUAAAGCAUAUUCUAUAACUUCAAGUGUUGCAAUAACAAAGUAAAAUAAGAAUAAAACCGGGAGGAGGCCCUGGGAGAGACCCAGGACAUGUCUUGGUGUUUGGUCUGGGCUUCCCUGCUUAGGCUGCUGCCGCCGCAACCCGGCCCCGGAUAAGCGGAAGAAGAUGGAUGGGUGGAUGGAAUAAGUAUACAACUCACAAGGUAAAGCAGUAUUCUGUGUGUAGUCAUGACUAUGUACAUUUUCACCAAGAACAAACACUCUUGUAAAGACAGUAGAUUAAAAUAAAUGUCACAUAAAUAUAUGAAAAUGGAUUCUCAGUAUGCAGAAGAAUAAUUGCUUCUCAAAACACACA
Molecule: long non-coding RNA, 3503 nt
Organism: Oreochromis niloticus (Nile tilapia)
Lineage: Eukaryota; Metazoa; Chordata; Actinopteri; Cichliformes; Cichlidae
Exons: 2
Source: RefSeq, a predicted model, not a curated record